Molecule: ribosomal RNA, 414 nt
Filed under: uncultured microorganism
Description: bacterial SSU rRNA
Rfam family: Archaeal small subunit ribosomal RNA
Source: RNAcentral
GUGCAGCAGGCGAGAAAACCUCACAAUGUGCGAAAGCACGAUGAGGGAAUCCCAAGUGCUUGCACGUAAGUGUAAGCUGUUUCUCUGUCUAAAACGCAGAGAGAGUAAGGGCUGGGUAAGACGGGUGCCAGCCGCCGCGGUAAUACCUGCAGCUCGAGUGGUGACCGUUAUUAUUGGGCCUAAAACGUCCGUAGCCGGUUUAAUAAAUGCCUGGGUAAAUCGGACCGCUUAACGGUUCGAAUUCCGGGUAGACUGUUAAACUUGAGACCGGGAGAAGUUAGAGGUACUCCUGGGGUAGAGGUGAAAUUCUGUAAUCCUAGGGGGACCACCAGUGGCGAAGGCGUCUAACUAGAACGGGUCUGACGGUGAGGGACGAAGCCCUGGGGCGCAAACGGGAUUAGAUACCCCUGUAGU